Molecule: ribosomal RNA, 253 nt
Filed under: uncultured bacterium
Lineage: Bacteria
Description: partial 16S ribosomal RNA
Rfam family: Bacterial small subunit ribosomal RNA
Source: RNAcentral
UACGGAGGAUCCAAGCGUUAUCCGGAUUUAUUGGGUUUAAAGGGUGCGUAGGCGGAUUGAUAAGUUAGAGGUGAAAUGUCCGAGCUCAACUCGGGAACUGCCUCUAGUACUGUUGAUCUAGAGAGUAGAUGCGGUAGGCGGAAUGUAUGGUGUAGCGGUGAAAUGCUUAGAGAUCAUACAGAACACCGAUUGCGAAGGCAGCUUACCAAUCUAUAUCUGACGUUGAGGCACGAAAGCGUGGGGAGCAAACAGG